Molecule: ribosomal RNA, 433 nt
Filed under: uncultured bacterium
Lineage: Bacteria
Description: partial 16S ribosomal RNA
Rfam family: Bacterial small subunit ribosomal RNA
Source: RNAcentral
AACGAACGCUGGCGGCAUGCCUAACACAUGCAAGUCGAACGAGACCUUCGGGUCUAUUGGCGCACGGGUGCGUAACGCGUGGGAACCUGCCCUUAGGUUCGGAAUACCUCCCCGAAAGGGGUGCUAAUACCGGAUAAUGUCUUCGGACCAAAGAUUUAUGGCCUUUGGAUGGGCCCGCGUUUGAUUAGCUAGUUGGUAGGGUAAAAGCCUACUAAGGCGACGAUCCAUAGCUGGUUUGAGAGGAUGAUCAGCCACGCUGGGACUAAGACACGGCCCAGACUCGUACGGGAGGCAGCAGAGGGGAAUAUUGGACAAUGGGCGAAAGCGUGAUCAAGCAAUGCCGGGUGAGUGAUGAAGGCCGUAGGGUUGUAAAGCUCUUUUACCCGGGAUGAUAAUGACAGUACCGGGAGAAUAAGCUCCGGCUAACUCCGUG